This 403-nucleotide ribosomal RNA is filed under the name Chloroflexota bacterium. RNAcentral describes it as "Chloroflexi bacterium partial 16S ribosomal RNA". It matches the Rfam family "Bacterial small subunit ribosomal RNA", at positions 355 to 776 of the family's 1533-position model. Lineage: Bacteria; Bacillati; Chloroflexota. The record is from RNAcentral.
UGGGGAAUAUUGCACAAUGGGGGAAACCCUGAUGCAGCGACGCCGCGUGAACGAAGAAGGUAUUCGUAUCGUAAAGUUCUGUCCUAUGGGAAGAUAAUGACAGUACCAUAGAAGAAAGCUCCGGCUAAAUACGUGCCAGCAGCCGCGGUAAUACGUAUGGAGCGAGCGUUGUCCGGAAUUAUUGGGCGUAAAGGGUACGCAGGCGGUUUAAUAAGUCGAAUGUUAAAGAUCGGGGCUCAACCCCGCAAAGCAUUGGAAACUGAUAAACUUGAGUAGUGGAGAGGAAAGUGGAAUUCCUAGUGUAGUGGUGAAAUACGUAGAUAUAUGGAGGAACACCAGUGGCGAAGGCGGCUCUCUGGUCUGUAACUGACGCUGAGGCUCGAAAGCGUGGGGAGCAAACAGG